GGAGGGGGCUAGCGUUAUUCGGAAUUAUUGGGCGUAAAGGGCGCGUAGGCGGCCCGGUAAGUCAAAGGUGAAAUCCCUCGGCUCAACUGAGGAACUGCCUUUGAAACUGUCGGGCUUGAGGCCGGGAGGGGGUAGCGGAAUUCCCAGUGUAGCGGUGAAAUCSGUAGAUAUUGGGAGGAACACCAGUGGCGAAGGCGGCUACCUGGACCGGUUCUGACGCUGAUGCGCGAAAGCGUGGGUAGCAAACAGGAUUAGAUACCCUGGUAGUCCACGCUGUAAACGAUGAGUGCUCGGUGUCGCGGGUAUCGACCCCUGCGGUGCCUUAGCUAACGCGUUAAGCACCCCGCCUGGGGAGUACGGUCGCAAGGCUG
Molecule: ribosomal RNA, 371 nt
Filed under: uncultured bacterium
Lineage: Bacteria
Description: bacterial SSU rRNA
Rfam family: Bacterial small subunit ribosomal RNA
Source: RNAcentral